This 567-nucleotide long non-coding RNA is filed under the name Homo sapiens (human). Its description in RNAcentral is "LNC_000337". The record is from RNAcentral. Lineage: Eukaryota; Metazoa; Chordata; Mammalia; Primates; Hominidae.
AAAUAUCCACCUGCAGAGUCUACAAAAAGUGUGUUUCAAAACUGCUCCACCCAAAGGAAUGUUCAGCUCUGUGAGUUGAACUCAAUCAUCCCAAAGUAUUUUCUGAGAAUGCUUCUGUCCAGUUUUUACAUGAAGCUGUUUCCUUUACUACCGUAGGCCUCAAAGCGUUCCAAACCUCCACUUGCAGAUACUACGAAAAGAGCGUUUCAACCUGAACUCACAAGGGAAGGUUCAACUCUGUCAGUUGAAUGCCAACAUCACCAAGAAGUUCUGAGAAUGUUCCUCUUCAGUUACGUGAGGUUUAUCCCGUUUCCAACGAAAUUCUCAGAGAAGUCCCAAAAUCCACUUGCAUAUUCCACAAAAGGUGUGUUUUGAAAAUGCGCCAUCAAAAGAUAUGCUCAGCUCUGUGAGUUAAACUCAAUCAUCGCAAAGUAUUUUCUGAGAAUGCUUCCGUCUUGUUUUUAGAUGAAGUUCUUUCCUUUACUACGAUAGGCCUCAAGGAGGUCCAAAUGUCCACUUGCAGAUUCUGCAGAAGGAGUGUUUCAAACCUGAACUGUCAGAGAAAGG